GAGCGGUAACACAAGGGAGCUUGCUCCUGAGGUGACGAGCGGCGGACGGGUGAGUAAUGCCUAGGGAUCUGCCCAGUCGAGGGGGAUAACAGUUGGAAACGACUGCUAAUACCGCAUACGCCCUACGGGGGAAAGGAGGGGACCUUCGGGCCUUCCGCGAUUGGAUGAACCUAGGUGGGAUUAGCUAGUUGGUGAGGUAAUGGCUCACCAAGGCGACGAUCCCUAGCUGUUCUGAGAGGAUGAUCAGCCACACUGGGACUGAGACACGGCCCAGACUCCUACGGGAGGCAGCAGUGGGGAAUAUUGCACAAUGGGGGAAACCCUGAUGCAGCCAUGCCGCGUGUGUGAAGAAGGCCUUCGGGUUGUAAAGCACUUUCAGUAGGGAGGAAAGGUGAUGUGUUAAUAGCACAUUGCUGUGACGUUACCUACAGAAGAAGGACCGGCUAACUCCGUGCCAGCAGCCGCGGUAAUACGGAGGGUCCGAGCGUUAAUCGGAAUUACUGGGCGUAAAGCGUGCGCAGGCGGUUUGUUAAGCCAGAUGUGAAAUCCCCGGGCUCAACCUGGGAAUUGCA
RNAcentral lists this ribosomal RNA (572 nucleotides) under bacterium IH3-8. RNAcentral describes it as "bacterial SSU rRNA". It matches the Rfam family "Bacterial small subunit ribosomal RNA", at positions 64 to 625 of the family's 1533-position model. The record is from RNAcentral.